Long non-coding RNA from Gallus gallus (chicken), 1657 nucleotides. RefSeq lists it as uncharacterized. The transcript is spliced from 2 exons. NCBI's taxonomy places the organism in Eukaryota, Metazoa, Chordata, Aves, Galliformes, Phasianidae. The record is from RefSeq and is a predicted model, not a curated record.
GGGGGGGGGGGGUGGGAAGGCCUUGCAGAGAGGUAGGUCUGGGGAACUGCGAUUCAGCACCCAGUGCUGUAUAUGAGAUUCUCAAUCCGUCACGUGAUUACAUAUGUAGCUUCUUUAUUAAAUCACAGCACAAAAAGCAGAUGUAUUUUUAAAGGUGGAAAAAUGUUCACGAAACUUAACUGGGAUAUUCUGGGGAGAACUUAGAAGAAAGGAUAUAGUUAAGUCUAAAGCAAGCAUUGUAACAAAUGUUUUUUCGCGUCACAGUGGGACAGCUGUUUGCAGGGAUGAACAGAUCAGACUUACGGAAUGGUUACAACCAUUUUAAUGAAAAAAAAGGAGGACGGGGAGGAGUAAGGCAAGGAAUGGGCCUGCAAGCUGACCGAUUUCCCUUUAAAUCACAUUGUAAUUUCUUUUUUGGCUAGUAAAUGACUUGAAAGUAUAGGAAGAUAAACAGCCUGAGCGAGGGCCUGGACUUCUGCCAUGUGCUGGGCUCCCAAUUAAGGGAUGAAAUUGCAAGAUACUCUUCAAUUUCACUGCAACUGCGGCUGGGUUUUGUGGGUCAGUAAAACAAAUGGAAGAGUUUUUUCUCUCCUAUUUGUGUACUUCAGAGGUACUGUGCUCGGUUAUCCGUGCUAGCAGUGGUGAGACUUAGCCCCACAGUCUCUGCAAAUUUAUGGGAGGAAUAGGUCCCUGGUCGGAAAGAAAACGAUUGUGGAUGUUUAAGUUUCUGUAGAUCUGCUCUGUUGAAUAACUCGCCUUACCUAUUUUUUUCCUCCCGGCUUGACAAUCAGCAGUGACUGAAAUUCAUGAACGCAAAAUAUGUAUUUUGAUGAAGGGCUUAAACUUUUAAGUGCCUUGCAGAAAAAAAAGCCUCUCUUUAGAAAGAAAAAAAACUCAAAUGACUUUCCUUGUGUGUUUUUAAGGGUGCCAGUUGUAUCCAUUUUAGAACAAAUUUACAUUGCUUAUGGUGUUUUAUUUUUGCCACGGCGCUGUGUAUUUGUAGUUGUACAUUACUUACUGACUUAAACACUAUCAUUUUCUAAACUGCAGAGGAAAGGAAAUAUAUUUUCUGUUUGCACAAUUUUCAGAAUAAAUGAAAAGGGAGGUAGCAUCAACAGAAGAAGUAUUUUUUUUUAACUCCAUCCUAUGUUGUAACAAGAUUUUAGAAGAUACAGAAAGCUUCUGUCCCAUUAGUUUUAAUGAUAGCUUAUCUCAGUGCAAUAAAACACUAUGAAAAUGAAAUAAUGUGUAUAUUUUCUUUGGAUCUCAGGCUUUUACCUACUGUGCCUACUCAGCACUUGGUUCUUUCUCUCUCUUAUUUAUUUACUUCUUUAGUUUUCAUCAUUUGAUGCUGUGGCAAUCUCUUGUGAUGUCAUAAGGAGUGAUAGCUCAGGCCUAGCAGCAAUACCAGUGAACUGUGAGUGUCUCAGAGUGUCACAGGAUGAAGGAGUAAUGCUUCUCUUCCAGUUUUGCUAACAAGAAGUGUAACUACAUGAGAUACUAAAAUGAUUUGCUGUUGCUCCUUGUUUCUAAGGGUGAUCUCAGUAUCUUAUGAAUCUGCUGGACCUAUGGUGGCUUUCAAACACAUACUCCAAUGCUGUGAGCUUUUCUGACCUGUCUGGGCUGGCUACCUCCUUGAUUAAAAGCUUAAAAGCAA